Molecule: ribosomal RNA, 497 nt
Filed under: uncultured bacterium
Lineage: Bacteria
Description: partial 16S ribosomal RNA
Rfam family: Bacterial small subunit ribosomal RNA
Source: RNAcentral
GAUGAACGCUGGCGGCGUGCCUAAUACAUGCAAGUCGAGCGAACAGACGAGGAGCUUGCUCCUCUGACGUUAGCGGCGGACGGGUGAGUAACACGUGGAUAACCUACCUAUAAGACUGGGAUAACUUCGGGAAACCGGAGCUAAUACCGGAUAAUAUAUUGAACCGCAUGGUUCAAUAGUGAAAGACGGUUUUGCUGUCACUUAUAGAUGGAUCCGCGCCGCAUUAGCUAGUUGGUAAGGUAACGGCUUACCAAGGCAACGAUGCGUAGCCGACCUGAGAGGGUGAUCGGCCACACUGGAACUGAGACACGGUCCAGACUCCUACGGGAGGCAGCAGUAGGGAAUCUUCCGCAAAGGGCGAAAGCCUGACGGAGCAACGCCGCGUGAGUGAUGAAGGUCUUCGGAUCGUAAAACUCUGUUAUUAGAGAAGAACAAAUGUGUAAGUAACUAUGCACGUCUUGACGGUACCUAAUCAGAAAGCCACGGCUAACUACGUG